Molecule: long non-coding RNA, 366 nt
Filed under: Homo sapiens (human)
Lineage: Eukaryota; Metazoa; Chordata; Mammalia; Primates; Hominidae
Description: HSALNT0034163
Source: RNAcentral
UUCAGUGGCUGCAGCAGGAAAAGCUCUUCGCCUCUCGGUACCUUAAGUAUACCUGAGUAGCCAGUGGUCAACAUGGGUUUGCUGCUCUCCUCACUGCAAUAAAUGACGGUGCUGUUGUAAGAGAUCCAGGCUGCCUUUGGCUUCCUCCAAUGGGGAACCUGAACAAGGACCCCCAAACUCCUGUUCACAUAACUAGAGCCCUUCCCCCCAACAUGUGAUGCUGAACAGAGAAGAACAUCUGUGCUUACCUGGGUGAAAUCCUAGGCAUUAUAGAAUGUGGGGAAGAAUCCAUGGGAGAAUCCUCCCCCUGAGGAAAGGGAUGCUGUUUUCCAGGAGAAGUAAAAAGUACACCCCUGGAUAUUGAAG